This 468-nucleotide ribosomal RNA is filed under the name uncultured bacterium. RNAcentral describes it as "partial 16S ribosomal RNA". It matches the Rfam family "Bacterial small subunit ribosomal RNA", at positions 28 to 507 of the family's 1533-position model. The record is from RNAcentral.
GACGAACGCUGGCGGCGUGCUUAACACAUGCAAGUCGAACGGAAAGGCCCUGCUUUUGUGUGGUGCUCGAGUGGCGAACGUGUGUGUAACACGUGAGUAACCUGCCCUUGACUUUGGUAUCACUUCAGGAAACUUGGGCUAAUACCGUAUAGUAGCUCCUGCUGCAUGGUGGGGGUUGGAAAGUUUCGGCGGUUGGGGAUGGACUCGCGUGUUAUCAGCUUGUUGGUGUGGUAGUGGCUUACCAAGGCUUUGACGGGUAGCCGGCCUGAGAGGGUGACCGGCGACAUAGGGACAGAGAUACGCGCCAGACACCUACGGGAGGGAGAAGUGGGGAAAAUUGCACAAAGGGCGGAAGACUGAUGCAGAAAAGCCGCGUGCGGGAUGACGGCGUUCGGGUUGUAAAACGUUUUCGCAGGUGACGAAGAGUGAGUGACGGUAAUGGGUAAAGAAGCAACGGCUAACUACGUG